Molecule: long non-coding RNA, 234 nt
Filed under: Parus major (Great Tit)
Lineage: Eukaryota; Metazoa; Chordata; Aves; Passeriformes; Paridae
Description: lncRNA (ENSPMJG00000014745.1)
Source: RNAcentral
AUGUCCACUUGUCAGCAAGUAUUCUCCCAGCUGCUUCUGCUGACCUCUGAGUAUGAAAACAGUUUCAGGCAGCAGACACUCUGGAUGCCUCUCCUCGGGUUUAAAGGCUUCAGUAAUGGCCUUUGUGUUAAUUCCAUGCACAGCCACUCCUUCACAAAUCAUGUACCUCUAAAAAAGGACCCUGAUAAAGAGCACCUCCCUCCACCUUGUAAUCUGAAAGGUCUGCAUACCUAG